AUGGCUCAGGACGAACGCUGGCGGCGUGCUUCAUACAUGCAAGUCGAACGAGAAUCUGACUUCGGUCAGAGGAAAGUGGCGGACGGGUGAGUAAAAAUGUAGAGAAUCUGCCCCAGAGCGUGGGACAACAGUUGGAAACGACUGCUAAUACCGCAUAUGCGCGUAGCUGAGAUGCUAUUCGUGAAAACUCCGGUGCUCUGGGAUGAGUCUGCAUCUGAUUAGCUAGUUGGUGGUGUAAUGGACUACCAAGGCGACGAUCAGUAGCUGGUUUGAGAGGAUGAUCAGCCACAAUGGGACUGAGACACGGCCCAUACUCCUACGGGAGGCAGCAGUAGGGAAUUUUGCGCAAUGGGCGAAAGCCUGACGCAAGCAACGCCGCGUGAUUGAAUAAGCCCUUCGGGGUGUAAAGAUCUGUCAGUAGGGACGAAACUUGACGGUACCUACAGAGGAAGCAUCGGCUAACUCCGUGCCAGCAGCCGC
RNAcentral lists this ribosomal RNA (480 nucleotides) under uncultured bacterium. Its description in RNAcentral is "bacterial SSU rRNA". It matches the Rfam family "Bacterial small subunit ribosomal RNA", at positions 19 to 518 of the family's 1533-position model. The record is from RNAcentral.